AACGCUAAGAAGCAACAAUCUGUCAUUGUACUCACGUUUCGCUUCAUUUUCAAACAGACAUCGUCAACACGCGCACCUCGAGAGUAAAAAUCGUUUAUUUUCUGUUGAUUUGUGCUAAAAUUUUUCGAUAAGUCCCCUCCAGUAGCGCUCACUUGUUCAACUCAGCGCGUUUUAAUGUAAGGUUUUUUUCGUCGAGGCCGCAGCGGGACGCGUGCGCACCUUGCAUUUCUUCCUCGACAAGUGCAGUAAAAGGAGAGUCCUUGGGCCCACUAUCGUGAAUCAUUAGCACCUACGCGCGCUUUUAACAGAAUGAUUGGUUGACACCGUAGUGCUUACCGGGACCGCAAUAGUGCAGCGCAAUUUACGAUAGGGUUGUCUUUUAACAAUUAUUAUGGAUUUUGUUAUAGUUAUGUAAUUAAUUUAAAAAAAAUGUCAAUUUUACUAUCUCUUUUAGUAUUAAUUAAAUCCAUGUACGACUAUUCGUUUUAAUGUUGUAAGUGUUAAUAAAGAAUUGAAUUGAAUUUGAAAAAUA
Long non-coding RNA from Melitaea cinxia (Glanville fritillary), 532 nucleotides. RefSeq lists it as uncharacterized. NCBI's taxonomy places the organism in Eukaryota, Metazoa, Arthropoda, Insecta, Lepidoptera, Nymphalidae. The transcript is spliced from 2 exons. The record is from RefSeq and is a predicted model, not a curated record.